This 2058-nucleotide long non-coding RNA is filed under the name Sus scrofa (pig). Its description in RNAcentral is "lncRNA (ENSSSCG00060071538.1)". The record is from RNAcentral. Lineage: Eukaryota; Metazoa; Chordata; Mammalia; Artiodactyla; Suidae.
CUCUACAGUUCUUUCAAUUGUCGUUUUCAGUUUUCCUUCAGUGGGCAAGAUAUCAUGCACCUCAUGUGGUGAUGAAUUAUAGAUUGAGCGUCUUAUGAAGAACAGAAAUUUAUUGCUCAGUUUUGGAGGCUGGAAAGCCCAAGAUCGAGAUGCAUGCCAAUGCAGUGUUUAGAAGGAUCUUAUUCCUGGGUCAUAGAUGGCUAUGUUUCCCUUCUCUGUCCUUACAUGACAGAAGGGGCAAGGGGUCACUCUGUGGUUUCCCUUAAAAGCACACAAAUCCUAUUCGUGAGAGCCCCACUUGACUUCAUCACUUCCAACCCCUCCCCCACCACAUACUACCAAUUGGGAUUUCAGCAUGUGGAUUUUGUGGGAUCACAAACCUUCCAUCUGUAGCAAGCCCAGAACGGCCAGUCCCAUCCUUCAGUCCUCAGGUAUCGAAGGGUGAGGGUUAGGGUCAGGGAUGGAAGAGGCUGGUGAAGAAUUAACUUCAUCUUCUGCUGAAGAAGUGACUAAAGCUGCUCUCUUCUUCUCCCCACGUGGAAACUGCAUUGUUGUUCUUGAGAAUCCAGAUUAAUCGCCUUUCCCAGUAGACAUACACACACACACCCCAAACAUAAAACCUAGUCAGACAAGGCUAGAAGGAGGGAGAAUUUUCUUAAGGCAUCUAGAAAGGUGAAUCCUAAUUAAGUGGGGAAGUUUUUCUGCCUACCCACAAUUCUUUAUUUGCUUAGAUGGGGCAUUAAAAUCCAAUCCUGUACAUCCACUAGUAGGAACCACCAGAAUGAAAGAAAAGUAAUAAUGGAAAAAAUACCAUUACAUUUGAAAUGCAUUCACUCUUGAUUUUGGUGGCAGCCUUUUCUAAUAUUUCUACUGGUCAUCGUGGAUACUUUAGGACUCCUUUACUGAGUCCCGUACCAGCACCGUGUUUAUUUCCCAAAGCCAGCACCUUCAGAUCCUGACUUUAGAGUUCUCAGAACAAGCGCAACAAAGGGGAUUCUGGGGAGAAGGGGGUGAAUUUCCGUAUACAAACCUAGAGAAACUAUCUACAUCUCCAACACAACUAGGUGCCGUGGAGUCAUCAUAAGCCCCUAAACAACAGGUGGGGCUGAAAUACCAGCAUGAUAUUUUGUGUGAUGUCAGGCACUGAUGUGGGAAGGAGAAGGAUGUACUAGAGAAAAGAAGAUAAGCUCAAAGUAGCUGUCAAGUGUUCCUUGGACAGGGCAGAUGGUCAAUGUGAGACCAUUACCUGAACUGUGGUGAUGAUUCUGUUUCCAGGCUAAUAGUGGUGAGCGCCAGGGUUCCACAGUAACUCCUUAGUUAGUAACUCCUAACUAAGGAGUACCUCUUGGGAGUGGUUCAGAAACUGAGUAGGACUAAUGGAGCCGAAGGAAAGAGACAAUCCAGGUAAAAGUAUGGGAGAGAAACAGAGUCAGGAUACCUCAGAAGUAUGGCACCAGAUUUUCCAUACUCCGUGAAAACAACAGAAGAGGGGACACUCUAAAGGUAGGAAAACUCUUGAACCGCAGUUCCUUUGAGAAGCUAAGGAAGAUGAGCAAGCAGUAAUGAUCAAGGCUAUCUUCUCAUACGACAUUAUUAUAGGGAUAAAAAAAGAGAGGGGAUAGACAAGAAUGGCACCCACACAGAUAAAGCCAGUUCUCAAGGUGAAAUGCUCACCAAAAAGAUAGAAAUAAAAUCUACGCUUUGUGAUGAACCGAAGAACAUUAGGCAAUUUGUAUGAUAAAAAAAUGAUAACGUAAAUCAAAAAAAUGAAAACCCAGACAUGAGUUGUCAUAAGUCAGAAAAGAGUCAGAAAUACCAGAAAUCAAAUUGGAAGAAUUAUAAGAGCCAAUAAACACAACAAAUACUGCCUCAAGAUAACGAGGUGAAAGGGAAGACACGUUUAAAAGUACAAAAUGUAGGAAAUCUUUAAAAACUUCAGUGGAAAUAUCAAAGGCUAAUCAUAUCCACUAUAUAGGCCAUAAGAAGAAGAUAAGUUCGGGGAACAGAACUAAAACUAGAGGGCUAUUUUUAAAAUACUUUUCUGAAGUGAAAAAAAAA